ACCAGAAGUUGACUGAAGCUGCCUUUAGACAGGAAGCAUGGGUACAGCGUCCAGCUGCUUCCACCCUGGAAGCAGGUCUGAGGCCAGGGGUCCUGGAUUCUCAGUGGCCCCAGACUGUUGGAUUACAGACAACACCCUCCUCGCCCCCUGCUUUUCCUGACUCUCCUCUCCUGAUGGAGGCGAAGGCAUCCCCUCAGCCACGCACUCCUCAAAGCAGCUGCUCCGCCUGAUACACCUGCCCGGGAUGUGUGCACCUCGAAUAAGCUGAGCAACUGGCCAUCCUUCCUAUCUUCCAGGGAACAUGGCAUUUCUCCGAGCGCGUACAAAGAUUACUCACCAAGAGAGACAGACUGGGCUUGGCUCCCACCUCAGAAACCCCUGCUGUCUGCCUUGCUGAGGCCCUGAGUUGAUCCCGAGACUCUCAGCCUUGGAACUGCCACUGAUUACAUUGAAAUCACAAGAUCUUGCUUGGGAAAGUCAUGCCACUAACUCAGGGGUCGCAAGUCCAGAUGCCUUCAGAGUCCAGACUUCAAGAAUUCACCAGAGAUGAAAAUUAAAAUCCCAAGAAAUGAAAUGAAGGUGUAACGAUCGAAGUUUUUAAAAACUGUUGAUGGAUGUUAACAGGCAAGGACAGAGAGUAGCCUCUGCCUCCUCGUUUUCUUUGGAAUGAUCCCGCGGGUGGGGCAGUCUGCCACAGCUUCCUGCAUUUUUAAAUUAUGAGAGGCUAUGGAGGACAACAGCAUCCAUGUGACACUCAGCCACCUCCCAAGAAACCCACAAGGGUGGCUGUGAUUGCAUUAGGAUGACCAUGGUUUCUGGAAGGUCAUGUACACAAGGCCAUGCAGGAAUAUUGAUGCUCUUAAGACACGUUUUGACUUAGUGCCUACUGCUGUGUCAGCCACACUCUGAUACCCCUAAAGGAUAUACAGAAAAUAAGGGAAUGAUGUUUUGCUGGAGGAUGAAAGACCCAGGCAAGGCGCAUCUGUGUGCAGUGGACCUCAUCCCAAAGGGGUCAGAAGACCCAGGUUCCAUUUACAGGGAGGUUUGUCUUAGGGGAAAAUAAAUACUUGUUCAGUAUUCUAUUAGGUUCUUUUAAGAGAAUUGGGGAGUUUUCUAUCAGUCUCAAGUGCUUUGACUUCCCUGUGAAAGCUGCAGUGUGCCAACUGGCCAAAUAUUCUCAUUUCUUCCAGGUUUUUUUCUCCCAGGAAAGAGGAAAGCUUCUUGGUUUUCUGGAAUUUAGGACUGGCUUUGUUGUGCCAUUCAUUGCAGUGUUUUCUCUAGGGGAGAAUGGGGAGUGGGAAUGGGGGCAGCAGCCUCAUGAACAGCCUGAAGAUGGGGGUUCAGCAAGUCUGUAGGUCAUCCCCAAGGGACAUCUCUUAGCUGUGGGGACCCAGUAGACAUGGGAGGUCCACACUGAUGCCAGGAGUCUGCAAGAGCUCUUGAAGUAGGGGUUCUGGGUUAUGAUUUUUGUCCUAUAUGUAGAAAGCAGACUUUAUUUACAAAGACUUGUAUUAAGUCAACUCAUUAAUCCCUAGGAGGGAACUAAAAAAAAAAAUCAAUUAAAAAAAUCACCAGGAAUCAAUUACAGAAAUUUGAAAUAGUUGGGAAAUGUAGGCUCCAAGUGGCGGCCACACCCUC
This is a long non-coding RNA of Ailuropoda melanoleuca (giant panda), 1638 nucleotides long. RefSeq lists it as uncharacterized. The transcript has 3 exons. Lineage: Eukaryota; Metazoa; Chordata; Mammalia; Carnivora; Ursidae. The record is from RefSeq and is a predicted model, not a curated record.